This 420-nucleotide unclassified non-coding RNA is filed under the name uncultured fungus. RNAcentral describes it as "sequence contains ITS1, 5.8S rRNA gene, ITS2". The stretch from base 83 to 236 matches the Rfam family "5.8S ribosomal RNA". Lineage: Eukaryota; Fungi. The record is from RNAcentral.
CCCCCUUGCGGGAGGCCUCGCGUUUUCACAUAAAACUCGAUACAGUGUACAACGUUCUUUUGCGAUCACACGCAAUCAAUACAACUUUCAACAACGGAUCUCUUGGCUCUCGCAUCGAUGAAAAACGCAGCGAAAUGCGAUACGUAAUGUGAAUUGCAGAAUUCAAUGAAUCAUCGAAUCUUUGAACGCACCUUGCGCCCCUUGGCAUUCCGAGGGGCACACCCGUUUGAGUGUCGUGAAAUCCUCAAAAACCCUUUUCCUGUCAGGAAUGGGAUUUUUGGACUUGGAGGUUCAAUGCUUGCCUUUCACUUUUGAAAGUGAGCUCCUCUCAAAUGAAUUACUGGGGUCCGCUUUGCUGAUCCUUAACGUGAUAAGAUGCUUCUACGUUUUGGAUCUAGCAUUGUCCCUUGGACGCCUGCU